AUGGCGAGCCAAGCUUUCGUGUACCUCGCGCUACUGCUGCUCCUCUGCAGCGCCAGCCAAGGCGACGAGCUGGGAGCAGAUGCGGCGGGCCGGACGCCGUGCCGGGCGGCGGACCUGGUGGUGAGGCAGUCGGCGACGGGGCGGGUCGUGGAGGGGAAGCCGGAGUACGCGGUGGAGGUGACCAACCGCUGCCGGUGCGCGCAGUCCAGGGUGUUGCUCCGCUGCUACGGCCUUAGCAGCGUCGAGGCCGUGGACCCGCGGGCGAUCCGGCCGGUCGACGGCGAGCGCUGCCUGCUCCGGGGCGGCCGGCGGAUCCCGAGCGGCGCGCCGGUGCGGUUCAAGUACGCCUGGAUGACGCCGUUCGACUUCCCACUGGUCAGCUCACAGGUGCACUGCUAG
Molecule: ribosomal RNA, 399 nt
Filed under: Triticum aestivum (bread wheat)
Lineage: Eukaryota; Viridiplantae; Streptophyta; Magnoliopsida; Poales; Poaceae
Description: partial small subunit ribosomal RNA
Source: RNAcentral